This 401-nucleotide ribosomal RNA is filed under the name uncultured bacterium. RNAcentral's name for it is "bacterial SSU rRNA". It matches the Rfam family "Bacterial small subunit ribosomal RNA", at positions 356 to 773 of the family's 1533-position model. The record is from RNAcentral.
GGGGAAUCUUGCUCAAUGGGCGCAAGCCUGAAGCAGCAACGCCGCGUGAGGGAUGAAGGCCUUCGGGUUGUAAACCUCUUUCAGCAGGGACGAAGAUGACGGUACCUGCAGAAGAAGCCCCGGCCAACUACGUGCCAGCAGCCGCGGUAAUACGUAGGGGGCGAGCGUUGUCCGGAUUUAUUGGGCGUAAAGAGCUCGUAGGCGGUUUGGUAAGUCGGGUGUGAAAGUCCGAGGCUCAACCGCGGGAAGCCACCCGAUACUGCUAUGACUUGAGUCCGGUAGAGGAGUGUGGAAUUCCUGGUGUAGCGGUGAAAUGCGCAGAUAUCAGGAGGAACACCAAUGGCGAAGGCAGCACUCUGGGCCGAUACUGACGCUGAGGUGCGAAAGCGUGGGGAGCAAAC